RNAcentral lists this ribosomal RNA (468 nucleotides) under uncultured bacterium. RNAcentral describes it as "partial 16S ribosomal RNA". It matches the Rfam family "Bacterial small subunit ribosomal RNA", at positions 28 to 507 of the family's 1533-position model. The record is from RNAcentral.
GACGAACGCUGGCGGCGUGCUUAACACAUGCAAGUCGAACGGAAAGGCCCUGCUUUUGUGGGGUGCUCGAGUGGCGAACGGGUGAGUAACACGUGAGUAACCUGCCCUUGACUUUGGGAUAACUUCAGGAAACUGGGGCUAAUACCGGAUAGGAGCUCCUGCUGCAUGGUGGUGGUUGGAAAGUGUCGGCGGUUGGGGAUGGACUCGCGGCUUAUCAGCUGGUUGGUGGGGUAGUGGCUUACCAAGGCCUUGACGGGUAGCCGGCCUGAGAGGGUGACCGGCCUCCUUGGGCCUGAGAUACGGCCCAGUCUCCUACGGGAGGCAGAAGUCGGGAGUCUUGCACAGUGGGCGGACGCCUGAUGCAGCAACGCCGCGUGCGGGAUGACGUCCUUCGGGUUGUAAACCGCUUUCGCCUGUGACGAAGCGUGCGUGACGGUAAUGGGUCAAGAAGCACCGGCUAACUACGUG